CCUACGGGGGGCUGCAGUCAAGAAUCUUCCACAAUGGCCGCAAGGCUGAUGGAGCAAUGCCGCGUGCAGGAAGACGCCUUUCGGGGUGUAAACUGCUUUUAUAUGGGAAGAAUUUGUGACGGUACCAUAUGAAUAAGAGGUUGCUAACUCUGUGCCAGCAGCAGCGGUAAUACAGAGACCUCAAGCGUUAUCCGGAUUUAUUGGGCGUAAAGCGUCCGCAGGUUGUUUUAUAAGUCAAUUGUUAAAUCUUCGGGCUCAACCCGAAGACUGCAGUCGAUACUGUAAAACUAGAGGCUGGGAGAGGCAAGCGGAAUUCUCGGUGUAGUCGUAAUAAGCGCUGAUAUCGAGAGGAACACCAAAGGCGAAGGCAGCUUGCUGGAACAUGCCUGACACUCAGGGACGAAAGCGUGGGUAGCGAAUCGGAUUAGAUACCCGGGUAGUC
This 442-nucleotide ribosomal RNA is filed under the name uncultured bacterium. Its description in RNAcentral is "bacterial SSU rRNA". It matches the Rfam family "Bacterial small subunit ribosomal RNA", at positions 338 to 795 of the family's 1533-position model. The record is from RNAcentral.